AACGAACGCUGGCGGCAUGCCUAACACAUGCAAGUCGAACGAGACCUUCGGGUCUAGUGGCGCACGGGUGCGUAACGCGUGGGAACCUGCCCUUAGGUUCGGAAUAACUCCCCGAAAGGGGUGCUAAUACCGGAUAAUGUCUUCGGACCAAAGAUUUAUCGCCUUUGGAUGGGCCCGCGUUGGAUUAGCUAGUUGGUAGGGUAAAAGCCUACCAAGGCGACGAUCCAUAGCUGGUCUGAGAGGAUGAUCUGCCACACUGGGACUGAGACACGGCCCUGACUCCUACGGGAGGCAGCAGUGGGGAAUAUUGGACAAUGGGCGAAAGCCUGAUCCAGCAAUGCCGCGUGAGUGAUGAAGGCCUUAGGGUUGUAAAGCUCUUUUACCCGGGAUGAUAAUGACAGUACCGGGAGAAUAAGCUCCGGCUAACUCCGUG
Molecule: ribosomal RNA, 433 nt
Filed under: uncultured bacterium
Lineage: Bacteria
Description: partial 16S ribosomal RNA
Rfam family: Bacterial small subunit ribosomal RNA
Source: RNAcentral